UUGCCUUGGAUUCCUAGGACAUCUGACUUUAGUACUAAAACAGGAAUAUUCCUAGGCAAACCAGGAUAGUUAGACAUCCUCCAACAUCUCAUUGUCUCCUUUCAUUAUAGUGGCUUGUUAGAAUAAAAAGCCCUGUGAAAUCGCCAGUAGCCACUACUUCAGCAUGUACAAGGUCCUUUCUCCAUAAUAAGACUUAAUGCUCCUGUUAGGCAGAGACCCUUUUGAUUCCCACUUCAUACAGAAUAUAGUGCUGUACUCAUGUUAAUGCCUAUUAGUGAAUAAGGCGAUGUAGUUUUAAGUUGGCACUGUACCUAAAAUCUUUUCCUUGUGUGUUAAUUUCUUUGUCUUUAUUUUUUUCCAGCCCAGAUGACUUACUCAAUGCCUUGAAUGAGGGUAUCAGUCGUGCUGAUGUCAUCAUCACAUCAGGGGGUGUAUCCAUGGGGGAAAAGGACUAUCUCAAGCAGGUGCUGGACAUUGAUCUUCAUGCUCAGAUCCAUUUUGGCAGGGUUUUUAUGAAACCAGGCUUGCCAACAACAUUUGCAACUUUGGAUAUUGAUGGUGUAAGAAAAAUAAUCUUUGCACUACCUGGUAA
RNAcentral lists this small RNA (592 nucleotides) under Pan troglodytes (chimpanzee). RNAcentral's name for it is "retained intron". The record is from RNAcentral. Lineage: Eukaryota; Metazoa; Chordata; Mammalia; Primates; Hominidae.